RNAcentral lists this ribosomal RNA (442 nucleotides) under uncultured bacterium. RNAcentral describes it as "partial 16S ribosomal RNA". It matches the Rfam family "Bacterial small subunit ribosomal RNA", at positions 338 to 795 of the family's 1533-position model. The record is from RNAcentral.
CCUACGGGGUGCAGCAGUAGGGAAUCUUUCACAAUGGGCGAAAGCCUGAUGGAGCAACGCCGCGUGCAGGAUGAAGGCCUUCGGGUUGUAAACUGCUUUUAUAAGCGAGAAAUAUGAUGGUAACUUAUGAAUAAGGAUCGGCUAACUACGUGCCAGCAGCCGCGGUCAUACGUAGGAUCCGAGCAUUAUCCGGAGUGACUGGGUGUAAAGAGUUGCGUAGGUGGCAUAAUAAGUAGCUAGUGAAAUCUGGUGGCUCAACCAUUCAGACUAUUAGCUAAACUGUUAAGCUCGAGACCGUUAGGGGUAACUGGAAUUUCAAGUGUAGGAGUGAAAUCCGUAGAUAUUAGAAGGAACACCAAUAGCGUAGGCAGGUUGCUGGGACGGUUCUGACACUAAGGCACGAAAGCGUAGGGAGCAAACGGGAUUAGAUACCCGGGUAGUC